This 1503-nucleotide ribosomal RNA is filed under the name uncultured bacterium. RNAcentral's name for it is "bacterial SSU rRNA". It matches the Rfam family "Bacterial small subunit ribosomal RNA". The record is from RNAcentral.
AGAGUUUGAUCCUGGCUCAGAACGAACGCUGGCGGCGUGGAUAAGACAUGCAAGUCGAACGGGACUUACUUAGCUUGCUUUGUAAGUUUAGUGGCGAACGGGUGAGUAACACGUGAGCAACCUGCCCAGAAGCGGGGGAUAGCUCGAGGAAACUCGAAUUAAUACCGCAUGUGAUCCCGUGCAGCAUUGCACGGAGAUUAAAGGUGCCUUCGGGUGCCACUUCUGGAUGGGCUCGCGGCCUAUCAGUUAGUUGGUGAGGUAACGGCUCACCAAGGCAAUGACGGGUAGCUGGUCUGAGAGGAUGAUCAGUCACACUGGAACUGAGACACGGUCCAGACACCUACGGGUGGCAGCAGUCGAGAAUCAUUCGCAAUGGACGAAAGUCUGACGGUGCGACGCCGCGUGGAGGAUGACGGCCCUAGGGUUGUAAACUCCUGUCAUCAGAGAGUAAGGUUUUUGGGUUAAUAGCCUAAGAAAUUGAUAGUAUCUGAAGAGGAAGGGACGGCUAACUUCGUGCCAGCAGCCGCGGUAAUACGAAGGUCCCAAGCGUUGUUCGGAUUUACUGGGCGUAAAGAGUACGUAGGCGGUGAGGUAAGUCAGAUGUGAAAGCCCAGGGCUCAACCUUGGAACUGCAUCCGAUACUGCCUCACUUGAGUAAUGGAGGGGCAUCUGGAAUUCACGGUGUAGCAGUGAAAUGCGUAGAUAUCGUGAGGAACACUAGUGGCGAAGGCGAGACGCUGGACAUUUACUGACGCUGAGGUACGAAGGCCAGGGUAGCGAAAAGGAUUAGAUACCCUUGUAGUCCUGGCAGUAAACGGUGCUCGCUUGGUGUGGGGAGGUUCGACCCUCUCCGUGCCGGAGCUAACGCGUUAAGCGAGCCGCCUGGGGAGUACGGCCGCAAGGCUAAAACUCAAAGAAAUUGACGGGGACCCGCACAAGCGGUGGAGUAUGUGGCUUAAUUCGAUGCAACGCGAAGAACCUUACCUGGGCUUGACAUGCUUAUCGUAUCUCUAUGAAAGUAGGGAGUCAGUUCGGCUGGAUUUGCACAGGUGCUGCAUGGCUGUCGUCAGCUCGUGUCGUGAGAUGUUGGGUUAAGUCCCGCAACGAGCGCAACCCUUGUGUCCUGUUGCCAGCGAGUAAUGUCGGGGACUCUGGACAGACUGCCGGUGCUUAAACCGGAGGAAGGUGGGGAUGACGUCAAGUCAGUAUGGCCCUUAUGCCCAGGGCUGCACACGUACUACAAUGCUCAGUACAAUGUGAACCGAUACCGCGAGGUGGAGGAAAUCCUGAAAACUGAGCUCAGUUCGGAUUGGAGGCCGCAACUCGCCUCCAUGAAGUCGGAAUCGCUAGUAAUGCCGUAUCAGCUACGACGGCGUGAAUACGUUCCCGGGUCUUGUACACACCGCCCGUCACAUCAUGGAAGCCGCUCGCACCCGAAGUGCCAACAAUUAGUAGGUCCUAAGGUGUAGGUGGUAACUGGGAUGAAGUCGUAACAAGGUAACC